This 628-nucleotide small RNA is filed under the name Pan troglodytes (chimpanzee). Its description in RNAcentral is "processed transcript". The record is from RNAcentral. Lineage: Eukaryota; Metazoa; Chordata; Mammalia; Primates; Hominidae.
GAGUGAAGCACAAGGGAUUGAUUGAAAUACCCAAUCUUUCUGAGGAAAAUGAAGUAGAUGACACUGAGGUCAACGUGAGUAAAAAGAAAGGAGAUGGGGUUGUACUGAAGGAUCUUAUGAAAACUGCAGGCACUGCCAAGGUCAGGGAGGCCCUUGGAGAUUACCUGAAGGCACUUAAGACGGAAUUUACAACGGGAAUGAUUUUACCAACGAAAGCUAUGGCAACCCAGGAAUUGACUGUCAAAAGAAAACUGAGUGGGAAUACCCUGCAGGUUCAGGCCUCAUCUCCAGUGGCACUGGGUGUAAGGAUUCCCACGGUGGCUCUUCACAUGAUGGAACUGUUUGACACAACUGUAGAGCAGCUGUAUAGCAUCUUCACUGUAAAGGAUUUAACAAAGAAGAAGAUCAUCAUGAAAUGGAGAUGUAGGAACUGGCCAGAAGAACACUAUGCCAUGGUUGCACUGAAUUUUGUGCCUACUCUAGGGCAAACAGAAUUACAAUUGAAGGAGUUCCUAUCUGUAAAGAAGAGAACAUGAAAUUCUGUUGGCAGAAGCAGCAUUUUGAAGAAAUAAAAGGUUUACUGCAGCUGACCCCCCUAAAUGGUUGAAUUAAAAUUUAUUAUAAGGCA